Molecule: ribosomal RNA, 451 nt
Filed under: uncultured bacterium
Lineage: Bacteria
Description: bacterial SSU rRNA
Rfam family: Bacterial small subunit ribosomal RNA
Source: RNAcentral
CGCAAGAACCUCAUGCUCCUGGAGCGGCCGAUAUCUGAUUAGCUAGUUGGUGAGGUAAAAGCUCACCAAGGCGUCGAUCAGUAGCUGGUCUGAGAGGACGACCAGCCACACUGGAACUGAGACACGGUCCAGACUCCUACGGGAGGCAGCAGUGGGGAAUUUUGGACAAUGGGGGCAACCCUGAUCCAGCAAUGCCGCGUGAGUGAAGAAGGCCUUCGGGUUGUAAAGCUCUUUUGUCAGGGAAGAAACGGUCGUCUCUAAUAUAGACGGCUAAUGACGGUACCUGAAGAAUAAGCACCGGCUAACUACGUGCCAGCAGCCCGCGGUAAUACGUAGGGUGCAAGCGUUAAUCGGAAUUACUGGGCGUAAAAGCGUGCCCAAGCCGGUUUCGUAAGUCAGAUGUGAAAUCCCCCGGGCUCAACCUGGGGAGUGGGCAUUUUUGAAGACUUGU